UACGUAGGUGGCAAGCGUUAUCCGGAUUUAUUGGGCGUAAAGGGAACGCAGGCGGUCUUUUAAGUCUGAUGUGAAAGCCUUCGGCUUAACCGGAGUAGUGCAUUGGAAACUGGGAGACUUGAGUGCAGAAGAGGAGAGUGGAACUCCAUGUGUAGCGGUGAAAUGCGUAGAUAUAUGGAAGAACACCAGUUGCGAAAGCGGCUCUCUGGUCUGUAACUGACGCUGAGGUUCGAAAGCGUGGGUAGCAAACAGG
RNAcentral lists this ribosomal RNA (253 nucleotides) under uncultured bacterium. Its description in RNAcentral is "partial 16S ribosomal RNA". It matches the Rfam family "Bacterial small subunit ribosomal RNA", at positions 524 to 776 of the family's 1533-position model. The record is from RNAcentral.